RNAcentral lists this long non-coding RNA (1104 nucleotides) under Homo sapiens (human). RNAcentral describes it as "HSALNT0077857". Lineage: Eukaryota; Metazoa; Chordata; Mammalia; Primates; Hominidae. The record is from RNAcentral.
CUGGUUUCAAACAGAUGGAGUAAUUGGCCAAGGCAGCGUCAGGACUUACCUGUACGCACUAUGGGCAGAGUGACAACUGCUCACGAGUGCCAGCUGCUCAUGGAUAGCUGACCUCACAGCUGGGAUUCUAAAGACAUCCAGGAGCUGCUAAGAAUUCUUUAUCUCAGGUAUCCUCCCUUCUUUCUCCAUUGUGGCAUCAGGUGCCUGCAACACUUCACUGGUGCAAGGAAUACUAUGAUUGGGAAGCUGAAGGGCUUCAGGACUGCUUAAGCUAAACUGCAUGAAUAUGAGUCAAAUCUGAAGGGCUCAGAACAUUCAGGACAUACACAAAUGUGAUGCAAAAAAACUUAUUUAUUGAAGACAAUUUUGUUAGAGCUGCUGUUUCCAGGAGUCCUAUGAAACAGACACAUCAUGCAGCCAAUAGGAAAUAAUUUGUCAGCCAAACCACAUUCCAACCUAAUUAUGCCCACCUGGUACAGAGGAACUCUACACAUGUGCAAAGAGUGAUGAAAUGAAUAUGCUGUCUUUUUUAAUGCAAUCAACAGUGAUAUUCAAAUGUGAUUCUUUGCUUGCUGUUAAGUUUUAUUAAACACAAUGAAAAAAAUGAAAACAAGGUUUCCAAGUGUCAUAAAAAAGAUUAAAGCACAAAAUACAGGAAAUCCCUCAUAAAAUCCAUGAAACAUUCUAAAUCUAGAAAAAUUCAUCUUUGAUUAGGGAAAGAAACAAUGCUAAAUUUUCUCAAAAGGAAGUUUACAAUUUUCUAACAAGAUACAUGGUAAUAUAUUCAAGCAAAUUUUUUUUAAGCUGCUUGCUUCUAAUGUUAUUUGCUUGAUGAAUAAAAAGUCCAUUAUUUUUCAUCAGUAUGCUGGAUGUCAAUUCUAUUUUUUGCCUGGUAAGUUAUUUCACCUGAAAGCUGUUAAAUGGCACAUAGACAUCUGUGUUGUCCUGCCGAUCGAGAGUCCAAGUGUUCUGGCAGGCAUUCAAAAUGAUUAGCAAUAGAAAAUCUCAUUUGGAAAAGAGAACAUUCAUAGAGACUUGAGUUCAAUGACUUUCCUUUGUGUCUAAACUGCAGGACUAAGAAGUUUUCACUUUUAAAUAUUAAAA